Molecule: long non-coding RNA, 411 nt
Filed under: Helianthus annuus (common sunflower)
Lineage: Eukaryota; Viridiplantae; Streptophyta; Magnoliopsida; Asterales; Asteraceae
Source: RNAcentral
AAAGCAUUUGUACAAAAAAUGUAAAGUUCAUACGUACGUAUAGGGACUACUACAAUAAUGAUUAUACGAGUCUAAAGAACUCAAUCGGUGGUGGGUUUUAAAGUUUCUAGUUACAGAUCACCGGUGCACACCAGGUGUUUGUGAAAUGUCCCCUGUGAACUUGCCGGUGGAGUUUGGUGCUCGGGAUGUUGGGAAACAAGAUAAGUUUUGAAGUAUCCAUCCGUACAAAUGGUUCCUUCAUUCUUUGUGAUCUUGCUCAACCCAUCCACCCUUCACCUGGAGUGUGAGUUGAGAAGAUGAGUACCAGGUGGAUGGUUGAGCAAGAUCACAAAGAAUGUGUAAUCAAGUUUGUGAGAAGUGAAGUGAAUGAAACUGAGACAUGAGAUUGAAGUAUUUCCAGCUCUAGCUGAU